ACGUAGGCGGCAAGCGUUGUCCGGAAUUAUUGGGCGUAAAGGGAGCGCAGGCGGGAAACUAAGCGGAUCUUAAAAGUGCGGGGCUCAACCCCGUGAUGGGGUCCGAACUGGUUUUCUUGAGUGCAGGAGAGGAAAGCGGAAUUCCCAGUGUAGCGGUGAAAUGCGUAGAUAUUGGGAAGAACACCAGUGGCGAAGGCGGCUUUCUGGACUGUCACUGACGCUGAGGCUCGAAAGCUAGGGUAGCCAACGG
This 250-nucleotide ribosomal RNA is filed under the name uncultured bacterium. Its description in RNAcentral is "partial 16S ribosomal RNA". It matches the Rfam family "Bacterial small subunit ribosomal RNA", at positions 525 to 775 of the family's 1533-position model. The record is from RNAcentral.